Long non-coding RNA from Aedes albopictus (Asian tiger mosquito), 1412 nucleotides. RefSeq lists it as uncharacterized. The record is from RefSeq and is a predicted model, not a curated record. The transcript has 2 exons. Lineage: Eukaryota; Metazoa; Arthropoda; Insecta; Diptera; Culicidae.
UAUUAUGCUAAUGUUGUAGAAUCGGCCCUUGAUCCUCAACCUGCACAUUCUUUCGUCGAUCGGCCACCAACCGAUCACGCGCCUCUGCAUGUCGCCCAUCACUAUAAAAGCUGUUCCCAGCUCACGUGUGUUGCCGCAACUCUGGUAGAUAGUAUGAUUACCUCUAAACGUUCGCACCAUAGAUCCUGUCCAACACACCUCCUGCAGCGCUACGGUUCCGAACCCGCGGUCCUUCAGUAUAUCGGCGAGUAUGCGGGUGCUCCCGAUGAAGUUGAGAGAUCUGCAGUUCCACGUACCGAGCUUCCAAUCGCAAGUCCCUUUUCGUCGCUGUGGUCGUCGCCAUUGGUAUCGGUUCGCAUUCUUCUCUCGUUGAUUUUCCGGUGCUAGUCUUUUUUACGGCUGGCUCGCAGGGCCUGACACCAACCCACUCAAUAUGACCUUUCGGUUAAUCCGAGUAAAACAUCUAUUUUUCUUUUCACGGAAAGGCGAAACCGUAAUGGCUUUCGACCUUUGCGUCUCUUCGAUUCUGAAAUUAGUGUGACUGAUCAAGUAAAGUACGUUUGAGUUAUUCUUGAUUGGAAGCUUUCCUAGACACCUCACAUUGAUUUCAUAAUCAAGAAAGCUUGUAUGGCCUUCGGGCAAUGUCGGCGAACCUUUUGUACAACUUGGGGUCUAAAACUCCCAAGUACCUAUAUCAAAUGGAUUUACAUAACGGUUGUUCAACCAAUAUUGACCUACACACUUAAUUCAGAUUGCCGGGAUAUCAGCAUUUUUCCAUUCUUUUGCCGAGAUUUGCACAGCCGAGUAAUCAGCAAACAACAAUUUUGCUGAGAUCUCAGCAAUUUUGACAGUUCAUUGCUGAGCUUCGGCAAUCGUUUUGCUGAGAGUCAGCUAACAAAUGUCACUUUUUGCUGGGAUAUCAGCUGAUAGUUUUACUGAGCAGACGGCUGUGCGCGUUUUUGCCGAGCCCGCAAAUCUGUUUUGAGUCUAUAGGGUAAAAGCUCCCUUAGUGGAGGUAGUACCAAUAGUGGUGGUAGUGGUAAUUUAGCACCAUUUUGACCAAAAAGCUUGCAAAUUACAUUUUUAAUAGAUGCAUCAUACCUAAAUACUAACAUUAAUUCAGUUUUGUGUUCAAGAUUUGCCGAAAAACCUUUUUAAAUCAAUUAUUUUUCUUAAUUUUUUUGCUCCUUUGCACCUAUAGUGGUGGUAGUGUUCCCAUAGUGGUGGGUCCCAUAAGAAUUCAAUGGGAUGCGCCACUAUAGGAACCAAUGUUAAAUUUUACCUCCAUAAUAGGAACCGUGUGCCUAUAGUUGGUGCAAGUGAUUUAUUAGCAAAAACUGAAAUAAACAAUAGUUUUUGCAUUUUUUCCAGAAAGUUUAUGUGAAAAACUACCGAUUAACGUUUUCAGCCUU